Molecule: small nucleolar RNA, 131 nt
Organism: Macaca fascicularis (crab-eating macaque)
Lineage: Eukaryota; Metazoa; Chordata; Mammalia; Primates; Cercopithecidae
Gene: SNORA70
Rfam family: Small nucleolar RNA SNORA70
About the family: snoRNA U70 seems to be exclusive to mammals and is a member of the H/ACA class of snoRNA which contain H (ANANNA) and ACA box motifs. H/ACA box snoRNAs are involved in the conversion of uridines to pseudouridines (5-ribosyluracil) a constituent of structural RNAs (transfer, ribosomal, small nuclear, and small nucleolar).
Source: Ensembl
CUACAAUCAAUUAAGCUUCCCAGCUCUUUUUCUAGUGGGGGCCUGGUGUGCAAUGGCUGCAAACAGCAGCAUCCUAGGUAGUGUACAGCAGCCUGUUCCUUGUGUGCAAUAGCCUUUGCCAUUGAACAUUU